GAUGAAGAACGUAGCGAAAUGCGAUACUUGGUGUGAAUUGCAGAAUCCCGUGAACCAUCGAGUCUUUGAACGCAAGUUGCGCCCGAAGCCAUUAGGCCGAGGGCACGCCCGCCUGGGCGUCACACGUCGUUGCCCCCCCAUCUACUCCUUCGGGAUUGCGGGGGGCGGAUGAUGGCCUCCCGUGCGCCUCGCCGCGCGGUUGGCAUAAAUGCCAAGUCCUCGGCGACGCACGCCACGACAAUCGGUGGUUGCGAAACCUCGGUUGCCCGUCGUGUGCGGUCGUCGCGCAUCGAGGGCUCGAAAAAAUUGCCGGGUUCCGGCUCGGCUUUCAACGCGACCCCAGGUCAGGCGGGGUUACCCGCUGAAUUUAAGCAUAUCAAUAAGCGGAGGA
Molecule: unclassified non-coding RNA, 391 nt
Filed under: soil metagenome
Description: partial contains 5.8S ribosomal RNA, internal transcribed spacer 2, and large subunit ribosomal RNA
Rfam family: 5.8S ribosomal RNA (bases 1-122)
Source: RNAcentral